RNAcentral lists this ribosomal RNA (277 nucleotides) under uncultured Orbus sp. RNAcentral describes it as "partial 16S ribosomal RNA". It matches the Rfam family "Bacterial small subunit ribosomal RNA", at positions 355 to 623 of the family's 1533-position model. Lineage: Bacteria; Pseudomonadati; Pseudomonadota; Gammaproteobacteria; Orbales; Orbaceae. The record is from RNAcentral.
UGGGGAAUAUUGCACAAUGGGGAAGACCCUGAUGCAGCCAUGCCGCGUGUAUGAAGAAGGCCUUAGGGUUGUAAAGUACUUUCGGUGAUGAGGAAGGUACUUGGUCUAAUAGGCCAAGUAAUUGACGUUAAUUACAGAAGAAGCACCGGCUAACUCCGUGCCAGCAGCCGCGGUAAUACGGAGGGUGCGAGCGUUAAUUCGGAAUGACUGGGCGUAAAGGGCAUGUAGGCGGAUGAUUAAGUUAGGUGUGAAAUCCCCGAGCUCAACUUGGGAAUUG